This 442-nucleotide ribosomal RNA is filed under the name uncultured bacterium. RNAcentral describes it as "bacterial SSU rRNA". It matches the Rfam family "Bacterial small subunit ribosomal RNA", at positions 354 to 796 of the family's 1533-position model. The record is from RNAcentral.
GUGAGGAAUAUUGCUCAAUGGGCGAAAGCCUGAAGCAGCGACGCCGCGUGAGGGAUGAAAUCCGUUAGGAUGUAAACCUCUUUUGCGAGGGAAGAAUAUCCCCCUAUGGGGGAGGUGACUGUACCUCGUGAAUAAGCACCGGCCAACUACGUGCCAGCAGCCGCGGUAAUACGUAGGGUGCAAGCGUUGUCCGGAAUUACUGGGUGUAAAGGGUCCGCAGGCGGGCAAGCAAGUCGGUGGUGAAAGUUCACGGCUCAACCGUGAAAUUGCCUUCGAUACUGCUUGUCUUGAGUUCGAGAGAGGAUAAUGGAAUUCAUGGUGUAGCGGUGAAAUGUGUAGAGAUCAUGAAGAACACCGGUAGCGAAGGCGGUUAUCUGGCUCGAAACUGACGCUCAGGGACGAAAGCGUGGGUAGCAAACAGGAUUAGAAACCCCAGUAGUCC